GCUGAAAAGGACGAGGAAGAGGAGACCUGUGCCAGUCUCUUCAUUCUGGACCGGCUAGUCCGAUCCAACAUUUCCAAAAUGACACACCAUACAGAGAAGCUGUUCACAGCCCUGGGGCCAAUCCUGCAGAGCACAAGCAUACGGGUCAGAGAAGCCCCUGCUUAUUUUAUACGGACAAUGGGGGCGCAUGGGGUCUUGGAGAA
Long non-coding RNA from Mauremys reevesii (Reeves's turtle), 203 nucleotides. RefSeq lists it as uncharacterized. NCBI's taxonomy places the organism in Eukaryota, Metazoa, Chordata, Testudines, Geoemydidae. The record is from RefSeq and is a predicted model, not a curated record. The transcript is spliced from 3 exons.